UGGCCUGCCAUUGAUGAUUUAAAAGGCCGCGGUAAUAUGACCGUGCAAAGGUAGCAUAAUAAUUAGUCUUUUAAUUGAAGGCUUGUAUGAAUGGUUGGACAAAAGGAAUACUGUCUCUAUUAUAUUUAUUGAAAUUAACUUUUAAGUGAAAAGGCUUAAAUACUUCAGAGGGACGAUAAGACCCUAUAAAGCUUUAUAAAUAAUAUAAAUUUAAUUGAAUUUUAAAUAUAAUAAUUAAAAUUAUAUUACUUAUUUGGUUGGGGCGACAUAAGUAUAAUUAUUUUAACUGCUUUAUAAAUAUACACAGGAUAAGUGAAUAUUAUGUUAAAUGAUCCUUUAUUAUAAAGAUUUAAAGAUUAAGUUACUUUAGGGAUAACAGCGUUAUUUUCUUUGAGAGUUCAUAUCGAAAAGGAAGCUUGCGACCUCGAUGUUGAAUUAAAUUUUCUAUAUAAUGCAGCAGUUAUAUAAGAAGGUCUGUUCGACCUUUAAAUUUUUACAUGAUUUGAGUUCAAACCGGUGUAAACC
Molecule: ribosomal RNA, 525 nt
Filed under: Epilobocera gilmanii
Lineage: Eukaryota; Metazoa; Arthropoda; Malacostraca; Decapoda; Pseudothelphusidae
Description: partial 16S ribosomal RNA
Rfam family: Archaeal large subunit ribosomal RNA
Source: RNAcentral